RNAcentral lists this transfer RNA (68 nucleotides) under Indonemoura auriformis. Its description in RNAcentral is "tRNA-Asp". Lineage: Eukaryota; Metazoa; Arthropoda; Insecta; Plecoptera; Nemouridae. The record is from RNAcentral.
AAAGAAUUAGUUAAAUCUAACCUUAGUAUGUCAUGCUAAAAUUACUAGUUUCAAUCUAGUAUUCUUUG